GCCCAGACUGACAGAGGAGCCGCAGACAGACAGACAGACCGCCUCAAUAGGCAGGACUCGGGUAGGGAAAAAAGGGUGGGUCGAUAGAGAUCACAGUGUAAACUGCGCACGGUUUGUUUUCACGCUCCAUAUCAGGACUGCGCAACGCAAAUGAAUGGAGGCUGGAGGCACGUAAGGAAAGACGCGUUCAAAGUUUUAAAACUUGGGGAAAAACAUACUUUAAAGAAGACACGAGAUGGAUUGGAUCGGUAACUUUGAGACAACUCAAAGCAAAUGGAAAAUUGCUACAUGAUCGCUUUAUGGAGUUUGCGGCAACAGAUGCUUUAAAGAAAGUUCAUUCACAUAACCCACAGGAGGAGUGGAGUUUUGUUGAGGAAACACAUCACUAACUCUGGGAUGUGAUCGACUGGAUUUACUGGGAAUUCAGAGAGAACCUUAAACUCCAGAUAGAGAAUCUCAACCUGUGUGUGUGUGUGUGUGUGUGUGCUUUUUAAGCUGUGGAUGUUAUAGCAGAGUUUGAUUUCAGCCAUGGGGAAUUUGGAAAGUGUGGAUGGACAGAGUGAGAUAAAGCAUCACAUCAUGCCCUUAAAGGUGCCAAUGCCGGAGCCUGCUGAGCUCGAGGAGCGCUUUGCCUUAGUUCUGAGCUCCAUGAACCUGCCUCCGGACAAAGCACGCCUCCUCCGCCAGUACGAUAACGAGAAGAAGUGGGACCUCAUCUGUGAUCAGGAGCGCUUCCAAGUAAAAAACCCCCCCCACACAUACAUUCAGAAACUGAGGGGUUUUUUAGAUCCAGGAGUCACACGCAAGAAAUUCCGCAGGCGGGUUCAGGAAUCCACCAAAGUUCUGAGGGAACUGGAGAUAUCGCUGAGGACCAAUCACAUCGGGUGGGUGCGGGAGUUCCUGAAUGAUGAGAACAGAGGACUGGACAUUCUGGUGGAGUACCUCUCCUUUGCCCAGUGUGCUGUCACGUUGGAUUUUGAUGGUCUGGAGAAUGGCGAGGAUGGCUCCCUGGACAAAGCCAAGUCCUGGAGCAGGUCCAUUGAGGAUCUGCACCAGAAUGGUUUCAGUACACUGGUGCGCUCGGUGCGCCACUCGGUCCCUCGGUAUGGAUCAGCAACGAACAGCAAAACUAUCAAAAACUCCAGGAUUGUGAGUCAGAAGGAUGACGUACAUGUGUGCAUCAUGUGUCUGCGAGCUAUCAUGAACUACCAGUACGGUUUCAACAUGGUCAUGUCCCACGCACAUGCGGUUAAUGAAAUCGCCCUCAGCAUGAACAAUAAGAACUCGCGGACAAAAGCACUGGUCCUGGAGCUUCUGGCUGCUGUGUGUCUGGUGCGAGGGGGCCAUGAGAUCAUCCUCUCAGCGUUUGAUAACUUCAAAGAGGUGUGUAAGGAAAAACACCGUUUUGAAAAGCUGAUGGAGUAUUUUCGCUGUGAAGAUGGAAACAUCGAUUUCAUGGUGGCCUGCAUGCAGUUCAUCAACAUCGUAGUCCAUUCUGUAGAGGACAUGAACUUCCGAGUACAUCUGCAGUAUGAAUUCACUAAACUGGGUCUGGAUGAUUUCCUAGAGAAAUCCAAGCACACAGAGAGUGAUAAGCUGUCGGUGCAGAUCCAGGCCUACUUGGACAAUGUGUUUGACGUAGGAGGACUGCUGGAGGAUGCAGAGACGAAGAACGUGGCUCUGGAGAAAGUGGAGGAACUGGAAGACCAGCUGUCUCAUGUGACUGAGAAGCUUCUGGAAGUGGAGAAUGAGACGGUGAUGAAAGUCGCUGAGCUGGAGAAGCAACUCUUACAGAAAGACAAGGAUCUUACUGCUAUUCGGGAGACGUAUGAAUCAACGAGCUCUCAGGUGCGCACACUUCGACGUGUAAUACAGGAAAAGGACGCCGCCUUCCAGAGGCACACUAAUAUUGAAAAGCGGCUACUGGAGCUGGAACAGCAGGGGACUAUCCGCUUGAGGAAACAGCCUGAUGGAGACAUUGCAAUCGAGGCUCUUGGAGGAGGAGGGGGAGGAGGAGGAAGCGGUGGAGCUAUAGACAUUAUGACUGGAGCUCCUCUUGGGGAGCUGAACUCAGGCAGCACCAUCCUGGGUGUCAGUUUGCCCACUGCUACUGAGGAAACGCCUGCACCACCUCCUCCACCACCUCCACCUCCACCACCUCCACCUCUCCCCACAGCAGCAGAGUGUCUACCACCUCCACCUCCACCUUUGGCUCCUCCACUUCCUGGAGCUUCACCCUCAGUCAUCCUCAGUGUUGGUUUAUCAGCCAUCAGGAUCAAGAAGCCCAUAAAGACCAAGUUCCGUCUUCCUGUAUUUAACUGGACUGCUCUGAAGCCCAACCAGAUCAAUGGUACUGUCUUCAACGAUAUCGACGAUGAGCGAGUGCUUGAGGAGCUGGACCUGGAGAAGUUUGAGGAGCUCUUUAAGACCAAAGCCCAGGGCCCUGUGGUUGAUCUGUCCUGUACAAAGAGCAAAACCUCCAGUAAAGUCAUAAACAAAGUUCAGCUGCUCGAUGCGAAUCGCUCCAAGAACCUGGCCAUCACACUACGCAAGGCCAACAAGACCACAGAGGAGAUCUGCAGAGCCAUCCAAACGUUUGAUCUCAAGGCCCUGCCGGUGGACUUUGUGGAGUGUCUGAUGCGCUUCCUGCCCACGGAGGCAGAGAGUAAGCUGCUGCGUCAGUACGAGAAGGAACGACGGCCUCUGGAGCAGCUGGCUGAGGAAGACCGCUUCAUGCUCCUCUUCAGCAAGAUCGAGCGCCUCACUCAGAGGAUGAGCAUCAUCACUUUCGUGGGGAAUUUUAACGAAAAUAUUAGCAUGCUGACCCCGCAACUCAACGCCAUCAUAGCUGCCUCAGCCUCUGUGAAGUCUUCUCCAAAGCUGAAACGAAUGCUUGAGAUUAUUUUGGCUUUGGGUAACUACAUGAACAGUAGUAAAAGAGGCUCAGUCUAUGGUUUCAAGCUCCAAAGUUUGGAUUUGCUGCUGGACACGAAGUCUACUGAUCGCAAGAUGACGUUACUUCACUACAUCGCUCUGAUAGUGAAGGAGAAAUACCCAGAGCUCGCUAACUUCUACAACGAGUUGCACUUUGUGGAUAAAGCCGCAGCAGUGUCUUUGGAGAAUGUGCUGCUGGAUGUGAAGGAGCUGGGAAAAGGAAUGGAGCUGAUCAGAAGAGAGUGUAGUCUGCAUGAUCACGCUGUCCUUAAGGGCUUCCUGCAGGCCAGUGACCCUCAACUGGACAAGCUGCAGAAAGAUUCCAAGACGGCUGAGGAGGCUUUCAACACUGUGGUGAUGUACUUCGGCGAGAGUCCCAAGACGACUCCUCCAUCUGUGUUCUUCCCCGUGUUUGUGCGCUUCAUCAAGGCCUACAAAGAUGCAGUUGAGGAAAACGAACAGAGGAAGAAACAGGAGGAAGCUAUGAGGGAGAAACUGCUUGCUCAGGAGGCCAAACAGCAUGACCCCAAGGUGCAAGCUCAGAAGAAGAGGCAGCAGCAGCACGAGCUCAUCGCCGAGCUGAGACGGCGACAGGCCAAAGACCACCGUCCCGUCUACGAGGGCAAAGAUGGCACCAUUGAGGACAUCAUCACAGCGCUGAAGAGUGUGCCGUUUACAGCGCGCACGGCCAAGCGGGGCUCUCGUUUCUUCUGCGACACCAACCUGUACGACGAGUCCAACUGCUAGCCCCUUCCUAAGUUCCCUCUCAAAAUCUGUCCCUAAUUCAGAAGAGCAGAGGACCGAGCUGAGUAAAUAUGGGCCUUUACUAAAUGGAGGAUCUCCGAAGCCAGCCGUUCCUGCGAGCUGACGCGGUGAUCCGAAACGGGUGGAAGCGACCCUAAAGACCCUCCCUGACCCCUCUCCACCCUGCGCUUAUCUCCCUGCACCUCACAGUGACGGAGCGUAGCCCAGGACCAAAGCAAGCGCCGUUCGUUUUAUAAGUGGCCAGGCGAGUCCUUUAUUUAUUUAUGGAAAUCUCAUCCUUUCUGGAUCGGAGGAGUCUCUGUGUCUCUGCCCAUCUCUCAGCAAGGCUACAAAAGCACAGACGUUUAAAGAUCCCACCCUUUCCUUUUACUCACACGUGUAUCCUAACACACACAAAGCAUCAGUGUGCGUGUGUGGCCUUGUCGGGGUGAAAAGUAAAAGACAUUUCCUGGUGAGCAGUACAUGUGUGUGCGAGAGAGAGACAGAGAGCGCGCACACACACAGCACAACAUGGGCCUCUUCACAUGUGCAAUCUAUAACCAAGACUCUUACUGAUGAAGAGAUACGUCCAACACCAUCUACACAUCUCCAAGAGCUUUUUUUCUCCUCCUUGUUUCACAAUGAAUAAUUAUUAUUAACAUCAUAUGGGUGAAGCUCGACACACCAAACGUCGUAUUCCAGUUUGUUAAAGAAGUGCCUUUUUUAUUGAGACAGUAUUAUUUACUUUAAUAUUUACCCUAUACAGAUGCUAGACUUAUAAUUUUGUACUGAUUGUUUUCCUUUUUUUUUUUUUUUGUACUGAUCCUUUUUUUAUGUAUAUGUAUAACAUUAGAUAUAUUGUAAAUAGACCAUUAUUGAAGUGCAGUGCUUUGCCUUGAACGCUUUGCUUAUUCAGGACCUGCGUUAUUUUAUUAGGUAACUAUGUGCCUUGCAUAGUUAAUACUAAGCUAACAUCAGUUCUGUCUGACUGUAAAUACUGGUUGUAAUGAUGAUUUUUUUUUUUUUUGGGCUUAUGAAACCACUAAUGUGCUCUUGGAUUGAAGGCUAAACUGAAUUGAAGAUGCAUCCAGGUGGUUAUUUUUUGUGUUAAAAAAAAAAAAGAAAGAAGAAGUAGUAGUAAAUGCAGGGGUGCCAAUAUUUAUAGUUUAGCUGUAAAAAAGACAUAUCAGAGCUUAGAAAUUCUUCCAGGAUUUAUUGUUAAGUUGUAUAUUUUCUCUGCUAGAUGCUCAAUGUUGGCACCUCUGCAUUGUGUAUUUGUGGAGAAACACCUGCAUCAUGAAGGCUACACUGCAUUCCACUGCCUCUCCAUACCAAAUAAGUGAAGGAUUAGGAUUUCUUCCUAAACAGCAUCGUUAGCAGCGUUUAAUUAGUUCGUAGGAGUCUUGAUCCUGUAUUAGGGAUUAUUAUUGCGAGGCUUCCUUUUGCACUAGCCAGUAAAAUGACAGGCGGAACUAAUACACUACAUGCUGCCAUUUAGAGCAGGACUGAAACAUAAGCAACACUAGACCUUGUGCUGUGGGUCUCUCUUAAAUAUUUAAUGUUUUCUGUCUUUUUUUUUUUUUAUACAGAAACUGUAUCAUGUAAAAAGUGCUGAAUGUAUAGGCAUGACCUCUCUAUUAAGGAAAUGCAGCAUCAUUUCUGUUAUCAGCCAUUAGCCAUUCCAUUUGUCACAGGAAGCACAAAUAAAAGUCAGACGCUCAAGAUCACCAGUGUAUCUGAUGGAUUUCACUCAUGAAAAUGGAAAAUGUUAGAAAGAGCUGUUUGGAAUGUGUACAGCCCUCUGCUGGUUGUUAGAUGAAUUGCACUUUAUAGGCCUUCGCUUUAAACUAAUGGCUGUGUGUAAAAAAAUUUCCAGAUUUACUACUACUUCAUCAUAGGCGUCAUGUCAACAUGGAAAUCCAGUCAACAGUAAAUAAAUAUCGCUUCUCCACUUUAAAGGAGUUUAUAGUAGGUUAAAUCAAUAAUACUGACUGUACAUUUCUCUGUAAGUAAAUACAUUAAAAACUCAUGAUGUUUCUACUGUAGUAAGCAAAACACUGUCCUGUCUCGCCUUCUUCUCCCACUGGGCAUCUUAAAACUAAGAUUAAACAAAGGAAAUAAAAUAAAACUACAGGCUUCGGAUAUCCGAUAUGCAGUAUCCUACAAUGUCACAUAUGUUGUAUCAUAAAUUAAAACAGAAAUUCUUUAAAACAAAAACAAAAAAAAUCCUGGGUAGUUUUUGUGUGUGAAUAUUCUGAAUGGCAAUUUUUCUAUGUUAUCUUUUAAAAAAAAAAAAAAAAAAAAAAUUCUUAUACGUCUUCCUGAAAUUGUACACAUUCCAAGCAGCAUCUUUGCUCAUCGUAUGAUGCCGUUUCCUUGUCAGAUGCAGAACCAGAAGCCACAUCUCUUUUUCUGUACACACUGAUUUUAUUUCAUAAUUAUAACAAUAUCCGUUACUUUUCUGUAGUUUAUGAAGUUCUCCAGCAAAAAAAUAGUGAAACGUUACUCUGUCUCUCCAAAAGAAGGGCUGAGCCACCAUGCAUUUCUACUAUAAAAAGCAGUUUAAUUAUUCUGCAUAUAUAAAAAGAAAAACAAAAAAAAACAAACAAUUAAAACAAUAAACAAGGAGUACCGGAACGGCUGUAGCUUUGUAGCAGUUUAUGAUUUAACCCAAAAAAACAAAAACCAAAAAAAAAAAGGACUUCAGACUUCACUAAAUUACAUUGGAUGGUUUACAAAUGAAGCAAAAGGUGGAUGCUGAGUGAACACUGUUAACAUGUUACCUUUGUGUGUUACAUGCAUUAGUCUGUGGAGAAGUUCACUUUCCAACAGGUAGCAGCGAGGCAGUGAGUCUGGGCAGGAGGGCAACAGAGUCUGUAAGACUCACACACACACACUCUCACACACACACUCACUCUCUCACACACACACACACACACAGCAGAAUGCACUUACAGAACUUUAAAAAAAAUAAAAUAAAAUGUUACUGCACUAUUAAAAACAAACAAACAAAAAAAAAUAA
This is an RNA transcript of Hemibagrus wyckioides, 6700 nucleotides long. It is a transcript of the gene named formin-like 3, with no coding region annotated. The transcript is spliced from 28 exons. NCBI's taxonomy places the organism in Eukaryota, Metazoa, Chordata, Actinopteri, Siluriformes, Bagridae. The record is from RefSeq and is a predicted model, not a curated record.